CUUCAGGUGCUGGUGAUCGCAAGGUCGUGGAAGUUCGAGUCUUCUCCUGGGCA
RNAcentral lists this transfer RNA (53 nucleotides) under Pseudomonas sp. NFACC42-2. Its description in RNAcentral is "tRNA_Leu_CAG". Lineage: Bacteria; Pseudomonadati; Pseudomonadota; Gammaproteobacteria; Pseudomonadales; Pseudomonadaceae. The record is from RNAcentral.